This 86-nucleotide transfer RNA is filed under the name Tidjanibacter sp. RNAcentral's name for it is "tRNA-Leu". It matches the Rfam family "tRNA". Rfam says of the family: Transfer RNA (tRNA) molecules are approximately 80 nucleotides in length. Their secondary structure includes four short double-helical elements and three loops (D, anti-codon, and T loops). The record is from RNAcentral. Lineage: Bacteria; Pseudomonadati; Bacteroidota; Bacteroidia; Bacteroidales; Rikenellaceae.
GCUCGGAUGGUGGAAUUGGUAGACACGCCGGACUUAAAAUCCUGUGGCCAGAAAUGGCCGUACGGGUUCGAUUCCCGUUCCGAGCA